UAAAACUGCUAACCUAGAGAUUGAAAGAGGAUAGAGGAAUUCCUAGUGUAGAGGUGAAAUUCGUAAAUAUUAGGAGGAACACCAGUGGCGAAGGCGUCUAUCUGGUUCAAAUCUGACGCUGAGGCGCGAAGGCGUGGGGAGCAAACAGGAUUAGAUACCCUGGUAGUCCACGCUGUAAACGAUGAAUGUUAAAUAUGGGAAGUUUACUUUCUGUAUUACAGCUAACGCGUUAAACAUUCCGCCUGGGGACUACGGUCGCAAGAUUAAAACUCAAAGGAAUUGACGGGGACCCGCACAAGCGGUGGAGCAUGUGGUUUAAUUCGAUGCAACGCGAAAAACCUUACCACUCCUUGACAUGGAAAUUAUACCUAUUCGAAGGGAUAGGGUCGGUUCGGCCGGAUUUCACACAGGUGUUGCAUGGCUGUCGUCAGCCCGUGUCGUGAGAUGUUGGGUUAAGUCCCGCAACGAGCGCAACCCUCAUCCUUAGUUACCAUCAGGUAAUGCUGGGGACUUUAAGGAAACUGCCAGUGAUAAACUGGAGGAAGGUGGGGAUGAUGUCAAGUCAUCAUGGCCCUUAUGGAGUGGGCUACACACGUGCUACAAUGGUGGCUACAAUGGGCUGCAAAGUCGCGAGGCUAAGCUAAUCCCUUAAAAGCCAUCUCAGUUCGGAUUGUACUCUGCAACUCGAGUACAUGAAGUUGGAAUCGCUAGUAAUCGUGGAUCAGCAUGCCACGGUGAAUACGUUCUCGGGUCUUGUACACACUGCCCGUCACGCCAUGGGAAUUGGUUUCACUCGAAGCUAACGACCUAACCGCAAGGAGGGAGUUAUUUAAAGUGGGAUCGGUGACUGGGGUGAAGUCGUAACAAGGUAGCCGUAGAAUCACUAGUGAAUUCGCGGCCGCCUGCAGGUCGACCAUAUGGGAGAGCUCCCAACGCGUG
Molecule: ribosomal RNA, 939 nt
Filed under: uncultured Wolbachia sp.
Lineage: Bacteria; Pseudomonadati; Pseudomonadota; Alphaproteobacteria; Rickettsiales; Anaplasmataceae
Description: bacterial SSU rRNA
Rfam family: Bacterial small subunit ribosomal RNA
Source: RNAcentral